UUGGGUGUCCGUCCACGUUUGCUGGUGCAUGUAUUUUUACCACUGCAGCGUUUGGGUUGGUCAAGUGCAGCCUUUGCAUAUUUACAAAAAAAAGUACACAACAUUACAAAAAAUUAACAUUU
Rhagoletis zephyria (snowberry fruit fly) is the source of this 122-nucleotide long non-coding RNA. RefSeq lists it as uncharacterized. Lineage: Eukaryota; Metazoa; Arthropoda; Insecta; Diptera; Tephritidae. The record is from RefSeq and is a predicted model, not a curated record.